This is a long non-coding RNA of Mus musculus (house mouse), 1106 nucleotides long. RefSeq annotates it as predicted gene, 53346. NCBI's taxonomy places the organism in Eukaryota, Metazoa, Chordata, Mammalia, Rodentia, Muridae. The transcript has 3 exons. The record is from RefSeq and is a predicted model, not a curated record.
UGCAAGCUGUGUCCCCAUGGAUGGGGGCAGAAACUCCUGCUGGCUGGAGAGGAGCCACCAGAGAGAGUGCCCAGACCCAGAGCUGUCCUAGAUCCAGCUUCCUCCCUGACAAGGAUCUCUGCAUAGAAGUCUGACAGCAGGACUGGAAAGAAGGCUACGAGCAGAUGCCUUCUGCUGAAGGACAACUAGACAUCUCCCCUUUUUCAUUAAACCAGAAAUUAAAGCAGCCCAGUGUCUGUGAAGUAUGCUGAGCUUCUCCGGAGGACACCCAGGCUGAGAACCUUAAUCCACUGGGAAGAAAUGCUAGAGGCCACUCUACCCUGUGAUCCACAGACAUCCUUUUUUCACCAAAAGGGAACAAAAGAAGAAAGUCCCAUCUGUGGUAAUGGUGAUACCAUUAUCCUGGGGCUCUCAUGAAGCUCUGUAAUGCCUAACAGGAAACCAGCCAGCAGAAAUGCACGGGCCUGUCUGGCCCUCCCAAGUCCAUGGCAGCCUCCCACCCAAAGGGGCCAGACCCACACCGUGUGCCUGGGGUGACAGCCCUGCCAGCAACCCUUGGAGCCCUUGGUGCCUGAUAGGAGGCCAGGUCUGAGCCCCACCUCCACCUAAAGAGGACACCUGCUCUGUUCUGCUAAUGACAGGCUAGCUGUGAUCAUGCAGAGAGUGGGAAGGAGGUGAGAAAUCCCCACCCCUUUAAAGAACUGGCUUCUGCACACACCUGCCCCAGGUGAGGUUGGUCUCUACCCUAAAAUGGAUCUGGAGAAUCCCAGCAAUCACUCCAAGCUUUGCAGGUGGCCUUGCUCCUCUGUCACCUAAGCAGUGUGACUGCCUCAGCCAAUAGGCAUCCCAGGCAGGGGCCACAGUGAGCACCUCAGCCUGCAGGCACUUCCACCUCAUGAGCUGGGAAACCAUGUAUAUGAAGAAAUAGCCAAAGUGAAGCUUGUUCCCAGGGAUACAAACCACCUGUGGGGCUGAAUACCUCUUAUCCAAAAAGCUUGGUCCACAAGUGUCUCUGAGUCUAAUCCUGGGAGGGGGAAGGUGUGGAGAGCCGUGAGCAAUUGCCAUCAUGAGCCUCCACUGUGCCUAACUGGUAAACAAGUAAUGUG